GCCAAAUUAACAAUUAAAUUGAUAAUAAAUUAACAUUUUAAUUAUUUGCUAUUUUUUUGAAAGAUAACUGUUGAAAAAAGCUUAUCCAUUUUCCAAUUUAUCUACAAGCGUGUGAUUAACACUUACCCUCAAAGAAUUAGAAACAGCAGUUGCAAUCAAAUGGACAGUCAGGCGUGCCUCCUCCAUCACCUAUUGAGAAUUAAUCGUCCGGGCUAUUAUGCGGUUUUACUUACCUAGAUUAAUAUCUUCCAAUCUAUAAACUGGUAGCCCAUCAUUAAGAUAUCUUAUAGGUUUAAUAUAGCCAUAAUUAAUAUCCAAGCUCUUAUUUGUAUUAUCUCUA
RNAcentral lists this non-coding RNA (340 nucleotides) under Cryptosporidium parvum. Lineage: Eukaryota; Apicomplexa; Conoidasida; Eucoccidiorida; Cryptosporidiidae. The record is from RNAcentral.